AUGGCGGUGAAUGGGUCGGCCAACGGGUCGUCGGGGGCCAACGGGUCCUCGGGGCCGACCAGGACCGUGCUGGUGACCGGAGGCGCGGGCUACAUCGGCAGCCACGCCGUGCUGCAGCUGCUCGCCGCGGGCUUCCGCGCCGUCGUCGUCGACAGCCUCGAGAACUCCUCCGAGCUCGCCGUCCGCCGCGUCGCCGCGCUCGCCGGGGACCACGCGCGGAACCUCUCCUUCCACAAGGUUGAUAUCCGUGAUGAGGAUGCACUGGAUGCUGUUUUUGCUUCCACAAGAUUUGAUGCUGUUAUUCACUUUGCUGGACUGAAAGCUGUCGGUGAGAGUGUACAGAAGCCAUUGUUUUACUAUGACCAUAACAUUGCUGGCACAAUAAAUCUUUUGAAAGUCAUGGCAGCCCAUGAAUGCAAGAAGUUGGUGUUCUCAUCAUCAGCUGCAGUUUAUGGAUCACCUAAGAACUCACCCUGCACAGAGGAGUUUCCUCUCCUUCCGCACAAUCCCUAUGGCAGAACCAAGCUUAUGGCUGAGGAGAUAUGCCGUGAUAUAUACCGGUCAGAUUCUGAGUGGAGGAUCAUUUUACUUAGGUACUUCAACCCGGUUGGGGCACACCCCAGUGGAUACCUUGGUGAAGACCCACGUGGAGUUCCAAACAACCUUAUGCCCUACGUUCAGCAAGUUGCUGUUGGGAGGAGGCCGUCAGUGACAAUCUUUGGAAAUAACUAUGCAACUAAAGAUGGGACUGGGGUACGAGAUUAUAUUCAUGUGCUUGAUCUUGCUGAGGGGCAUAUUGCUGCACUACGGAAGCUUUUUGAUAGUUCGUCUAACAUAGGAUGUGAACCAUACAACCUUGGGACUGGAAAGGGGACGUCAGUGUUGGAGAUAGUCAAUGCAUUCGAGAAGGCUUCUGGAAAGAAAAUCCCGCUGGUCAUCGGUCAGCGUCGCCCUGGUGAUGCCGAGAUUCUCUUUGCAGGAACUGGCAAAGCAGAGAGAGAACUCAACUGGAAAGCGAAAUAUGGCAUCACGGAGAUGUGCAGGGACCAGUGGAACUGGGCUAGCAAGAACCCUUACGGGUACGGGUCACCCGACUCGACCAAGCAGAACGGUAGCAAUUCACACUGA
This 1128-nucleotide ribosomal RNA is filed under the name Triticum aestivum (bread wheat). Its description in RNAcentral is "partial small subunit ribosomal RNA". Lineage: Eukaryota; Viridiplantae; Streptophyta; Magnoliopsida; Poales; Poaceae. The record is from RNAcentral.